UUAGAAUAGUGAAUAAAAGACCUUAGAUGGUAAUUUGUGAGUCUUGUGGUAUGUCUUUAGUAUCAGUCUCGUGAUUGUGUCGAGUGUGGAGUCUGUUGAUAGUGUCCUAUAUGAUCGUUGUUGCCGAAUGAAUGCUAGGGAGCUGUGAUUAUUGAGUCUACCCAGAGUUUGUUUCCCUGCCUUCCAUAUUAGUUAUUUCGCGAGGACGCGAAAAUU
RNAcentral lists this long non-coding RNA (216 nucleotides) under Linum usitatissimum (flax). Its description in RNAcentral is "long non-coding RNA (LUSI_LNC006237)". The record is from RNAcentral. Lineage: Eukaryota; Viridiplantae; Streptophyta; Magnoliopsida; Malpighiales; Linaceae.